This 68-nucleotide transfer RNA is filed under the name human gut metagenome. It matches the Rfam family "tRNA". From Rfam's summary of the family: Transfer RNA (tRNA) molecules are approximately 80 nucleotides in length. Their secondary structure includes four short double-helical elements and three loops (D, anti-codon, and T loops). Further hydrogen bonds mediate the characteristic L-shaped molecular structure. tRNAs have two regions of fundamental functional importance: the anti-codon, which is responsible for specific mRNA codon recognition, and the 3' end, to which the tRNAs corresponding amino acid is attached (by aminoacyl-tRNA synthetases). tRNAs cope with the degeneracy of the genetic code in two manners: having more than one tRNA (with a specific anti-codon) for a particular amino acid; and 'wobble' base-pairing, i.e. permitting non-standard base-pairing at the 3rd anti-codon position. The record is from RNAcentral.
UGAUGUAGCUCAGAUGGUUAGAGCAUCACUCUGAUAAGGUGAGGGUCAGUGGUUCGAUUCCACUCAUC